This 372-nucleotide ribosomal RNA is filed under the name uncultured organism. RNAcentral describes it as "partial 16S ribosomal RNA". It matches the Rfam family "Bacterial small subunit ribosomal RNA", at positions 527 to 896 of the family's 1533-position model. The record is from RNAcentral.
GAAGGUGGCGAGCGUUGUUCGGAAUUAUUGGGCUUAAAGAGCACGUAGGCGGAGCAGAAAGUGUCUUGUGAAAACCCCCGGCUUAACCGGGGAGUUGCUUGGCAAACUUCUGUUCUUGAGUCAAGUAGGGGUACAUGGAACUCUUAGUGGAGCGGUGGAAUGCGUAGAUAUUAAGAGGAACGCCAAUGGUGAAGACAGUGUACUGGGCUUGUACUGACGCUGAGGUGCGAAAGCGUGGGGAGCGAACGGGAUUAGAUACCCCGGGUAGUCCACGCCGUAAACGAUGUCUACUAGGUUGUGGUUGUUCUGACACAUUCACAGCCGAAGCAAAAGUGUUAAGUAGACCGCCUGGGGAGUACGGUCGCAAGGCUA